GCAGGAGUCACUGACUUGGUCUUGCUCCUCUUUAGGGCGUGAUGUUUUACAAAGAGAGAUACCAAAUUUGGUUUCUUUCCCUUUUCCAGAACCUGUUUCAUGUGAGGAAAUAGUAAAAGUUUGAACUGGAGUUGCAUGUGAAGAAGCAUCUACAUUAGACCUCGGACUCGUAGCUGUUUCCGGUAAUGGAACUAAUGUUUCAAAUGCCUGAACAAGCAAAGCUACUUUUCUUUUCUGGGCUGGGGCUAGUUUAGAAAUAACAUGUUGAAGUGCACAAUCAAGCAUCCCUUCCUCAGAAGUUUUGCUGUCUUCCAUGGUCUGAUGCCGUAGAUGAAUCUUAUCCGCUCCACGUCCAGGCUGUACUGGCAGAUGUGGUGACUUCCACGGAUUGAAGUUCCUCACCUUCUCCAAUGCUUUAACAAAUCUCUUGAGGAUAAUCAUCUUUCUCAGAUUACUCCAGCUCUUGGGCUGUUGCUGUUUAGAUUUGCUUACCAUGUUUGAUUGUGCUUCCUCUCUUUUUGGCCCAUUUAUAUUAUAUUCUUUGUGCCGCAUUUCUUCCAGAUCUUGCACCAUGCUUUCUUUACCUGAAUCAGAGAAAGUUAACAUCCUCAAUUCCCCACUUGCACCAUGAUUCUUUUCUCCCUUGUCUGAAUUGCUGUUAUACGCAAUUGAUUGAUCAUCAGAUGAGUGGUCAGGAAUUUCAGAGAGGAUUAUGUCAAAUGCUUCCUUUACCAAUUUAAUGGCAUUGUGAAGGUAAAGCUGAAUAUUAUGGCUGCCUCUAUCGUGAUCAUACACCUCCAUGCCCUGACCUACUCCACAAAAAUCUGAACAAGAAUCUGAAUUGUUCAUUGCAGGCAAAGUGUUUGAAUCUUCUCCUUGUUCUUCCUUAUCCAUUUUCUUAAGAAGCGGCUGCUUUUCAUCGUCUGAAGCAAUGCCUGAUACCAUAUGUUGAUAUAUCAGGUUCCACAAUCCCAUAUGUUUCUGCUUUUCCAUUUGGAUUUUCUCCACUACAAGGGAGUUGCAAUCGGGCUCUGAAUCUCUCGAUGGGAACUGAUAGUCUUGCACAGGAUCUUCAUUCUUUCCCUUACUGUCUGCAGUCUGUUCAUCUAGUUGUUGAGAUACGGAAGCAGAAGAAAUCAUAUCAUUGAUUGCACUUGAUUCCACAAAUGCUUUUGUGCUUAAGCUUCUAGAUUUAUCAAUGGGCUCUUUAGCUACACUCGUUGACGCAGUUGCCUCUGAAGUGUUCAAUUCUGAAUCGACUUUGUACACAUCAAAGUUCAAACUUGAAACUCUAUCUUCCUUGACAUCUUGGUAAACUUUUCCAUCCACUGGAAUUUCCUCAUGGCAGGUGUAAGUAACAUCAUCAAAGGGCAGCAUAUCACACCACUGUCCAGGAUCUUCAACCUUUUGUAAGAUGAUAUU
Molecule: unclassified non-coding RNA, 1422 nt
Filed under: Hevea brasiliensis (rubber tree)
Lineage: Eukaryota; Viridiplantae; Streptophyta; Magnoliopsida; Malpighiales; Euphorbiaceae
Source: RNAcentral